Molecule: small nucleolar RNA, 107 nt
Organism: Humulus lupulus (European hop)
Lineage: Eukaryota; Viridiplantae; Streptophyta; Magnoliopsida; Rosales; Cannabaceae
Source: RefSeq, a predicted model, not a curated record
AUGCCGUGAUGGGGACAUUUUCUCAACAACUCCUUAAAACGCUCCCAUGCAUCAUAUAAAGAUUCCCCAUCAAGCUGGUAAAAAUUAUCGAUCUCCCCCCUUAAUUU